RNAcentral lists this ribosomal RNA (372 nucleotides) under uncultured organism. Its description in RNAcentral is "partial 16S ribosomal RNA". It matches the Rfam family "Bacterial small subunit ribosomal RNA", at positions 528 to 896 of the family's 1533-position model. The record is from RNAcentral.
GGGGGGGCGAGCGUUGUUCGGAAUUAUUGGGCGUAAAGGGCACGUAGGCGGUCUGGCAAGUCUGGUGUGAAAGCCCUCGGCUCAACCGAGGAACUGCACCAGAAACUGCCGGACUAGAGUUCGGGAGAGGAGAGUGGAAUUCCCAGUGUAGCGGUGAAAUGCGUAGAUAUUGGGAGGAACACCUGUGGCGAAGGCGGCUCUCUGGACCGAUACUGACGCUGAGGUGCGAAAGCGUGGGGAGCAAACAGGGAUUAGAUACCCUGGUAGUCCACGCUGUAAACGUUGGGUACUUGGUGUAGCGGGUAUCGACCCCUGCUGUGCCGAAGCUAACGCAUUAAGUACCCCGCCUGGGGGAGUACGGUCGCAAGGCUG